GACAGAGGGGGCAAGCGUUGCUCGGAAUCACUGGGCGUAAAGGGCGCGUAGGCGGGGAGGUAAGUCGGGUGUGAAAUCCCUCGGCCCAACUGAGGAACUGCGCCCGAGACUGCUUCUCUUGAGUCCCGGAGAGGAAGAUGGAAUUCCCGGUGUAGCGGUGAAAUGUGUAGAGAUCGGGAGGAACACCGGUGGCGAAGGCGGUCUUCUGGACGGUGACUGACGCUGAGGCGCGAAAGCGUGGGGAGCAAACGGG
Molecule: ribosomal RNA, 253 nt
Filed under: uncultured bacterium
Lineage: Bacteria
Description: partial 16S ribosomal RNA
Rfam family: Bacterial small subunit ribosomal RNA
Source: RNAcentral